GACGAACCGUGCGAACGUUGUUCGGAAUCACUGGGCUUAAAGGGCGCGUAGGCGGCUUGCCAAGUCCGGGGUGAAAGCCUCCAGCUUAACUGGAGAAGUGCCUUGGAUACUGGCGAGCUUGAGCGAGGUAGGGGCGGGUGGAACUUCCGGUGGAGCGGUGAAAUGCGUUGAUAUCGGAAGGAACGCCGGUGGCGAAAGCGACCCGCUGGACCUCUUCUGACGCUGAGGCGCGAAAGCUAGGGUAGCGAACGGG
RNAcentral lists this ribosomal RNA (253 nucleotides) under uncultured bacterium. RNAcentral's name for it is "partial 16S ribosomal RNA". It matches the Rfam family "Bacterial small subunit ribosomal RNA", at positions 524 to 776 of the family's 1533-position model. The record is from RNAcentral.